CCUAUACUCUAUCAUCUUGCUUACACUCUUUCUAAAUGGUACAAAGCAUGGGUUGUGAUUUGAUAGAAGGUAUGGAUCAUAUGAGAGUGUAUGUGUGUGUUCGUGGCUAUAAAAGGGAGCCUUGGAUCCUCAUGUUCCUCACAAAACUUCCAGCUAUCUUCUCUUCCUCCAAAACGUCCCUAUCUCUCUCUAAAACCACCUUCCAUCUCUUUCCCGGUUUACCACCAAGAACACCCAAAAACCACCAUCCUAACACCACCAAUUCACCAUCAUUCUACUACCUUAACCUUCCUUAUAACCCCUUGUUCAUGAACACAUACCUAGCCUCCUUACCUCACUAUUUUGCAUAUCAAAAGGAGGAAGAGACACGAAGUCAGCCACCACGCUGCCACCCAUCGCCACCUCCUGUUUAUUUUUUUUGCUGCCGCUGAAACUAAAUAAAUCUUGACGGUUCGUUAUCAAAGCGACACUUCUCGGUUUCUCGCAUCAAAUACUCGAAACAAAUCAUCAACCACCCUUUAAGGUGAGUGUUACGGCCCCACUUUUACAUAUUUUCGUGGAGGGGAAUACAUGUAGUACUUGUAUAUCUAGUAUAUAUCUAUUUUCUAAAUACUUUGUUUAAACAUACAACACUGCCGUUUUUAUGCAAUAUAAUUCACAAAAAAAAUAUUGUUUAUCACGCUACUACUUACGGUACGUGUAGUAAGUAAUAUUUACCAUACAAAAUACACACAAAAAAAAUAUCAUUGUUUUGUGUAAAUACUUUACCAGUUUUAGAAAUAAUUGUUUAAACGCUUACAUGUUAAGUAAACAAAAUCGUUUUAAACCUCAAUACUUUUAUAUGUUUUUUUGUUAAGAUAAUACGAUUAAUAAAAAUAUCAUAUACGUUCCGACAAAAAUUGUGCUAAAACUGUAUAGUCGGUUAUCAACUUGGUAGUCAAAUUAUACCUCAUACAUACAUAGAAAAAUAUAAGUUUAUAUAGUUAUAAAUGUAUUGUACUCUUCAAUGUGUACGCUUAUCAAAUAUACUUGUCAAUUACCUGUUUAUCCGUAUCUGUGGUUGUUAAGUUCAACCUUGGCAGAUAACUUCAUCCGUAUAUCCGUAUGUCUGGUUCUGACAAAAAUAUAUAGGUUUAUACGUUUAUACAAGUUAUAGAACUUGUAUCUUAGGCUCAUACAUGUGCUUGUGUACACUAUACUAAGUUUGUCAACUGUUUAAACAAGUAUCGUACACUUUAUAUGUAUGAUUAUCAAGUAUACUUGUUGUUUAUCCGUAUCUGUGAUUAUUAAGUUCAACCUUGGCAGAUAAUUUUAUCCGUAUAUCCGUAUGUUUGUUUAUCCGUAUCUGCGGUUGUGAAUUACAACCUUGGCAGAAAACUUUCUUCGUUACCCGUACAACUAUGGAUUUGGUUGCUUUCAAACAAAAUUUUAAGUAUGGAAUUAUUUAUGGAACAUAACGUUUUGGCUUCAAAGAUUCAUUUCAAACACAAUUUUAAGUAUGGGAUUACUUAUGGAACAUAACGUUUUGGCUUCAAAGAUUCAUUACAAACACAGUUUUAAGUAUGGAAUUACUUAUGAAACAUAACAUUUUGGCUUUCAAAGAUUCAUUACAAACACAGUUUUACGUAUGGGUUUACUUAUACAAACUAUACAUUUUGUCUUUUAAAGACUCAUUGCAAACACUGUUUAACUGUUGUUAUACAUACAAAGAUAAUACUUUUUAGACAUACUAAAAGUAUUACUGCGUUAGCAGAAAACCUGUGACACUCACCAACCUUUGUGUUGACUUUCAAACUUACAUGUAUUCUUAGGGGAUCAUCAGACAGGCUUUCAGGAAGAAGAUUAGUCGUGGAUUGCAGACGAUCUAGCUAGCUUGUUCCUGUUAUUUGUUUAUCUGUUAAAGGCAACUAAUGUACUAUUAUUAUCUGUAAGAACCCUGUAUUCAAACUUAAUGAUGGAAUACAAAUGCUAUUUUGUU
This is a long non-coding RNA of Lactuca sativa (garden lettuce), 1978 nucleotides long. RefSeq lists it as uncharacterized. The record is from RefSeq and is a predicted model, not a curated record. NCBI's taxonomy places the organism in Eukaryota, Viridiplantae, Streptophyta, Magnoliopsida, Asterales, Asteraceae.